GACCAUCCUGGUCUCCAGUGCACGACCCUGAACCCAGAUCACCUGCAUUGUUUUAUCCUGAUUUGUUUCAUCCUUCUCCUCUGUCUCAUCUUCCUGGUCUGCUACUUUUAUAACAAAGCUAAAGGCCAGUGGGGCUCAGUGAGUCACACCUCCAGGACUGCUGAGCAGCGCUGCUGAGGAAGAGCUCUGACUGACAGCAGAGGGGAAGCAGGACCAGCCGACACGAUCAGGGAAAACCUGAUGAGUUCUCGGAUGGAGAUCAAAUUACCCAAGAAGCGAGACCAAAAAAGAGGAGAAGAUGCACAGGAUACUGUCUGGGCAACAAUUAAGUGACGGGUUUGUUUAUUCCUGAAAUGCUGAGCACAGAACAGAAAACACCCACCAUCUGUAAAUUGUAGGAUUUAUUAAGUUAUUUUUUAUUUUUUAAAUAUAACUUAAUGACAUUAACUAAUCCAGUUUGGCAAGAUUGAUUACCCAGACUUGUAGAUAAGCAAGUCUUUACAGGAAUUAAAUAAAAACUACAUAUUUGUCUCCACCAU
Paramormyrops kingsleyae is the source of this 539-nucleotide long non-coding RNA. RefSeq lists it as uncharacterized. The record is from RefSeq and is a predicted model, not a curated record. NCBI's taxonomy places the organism in Eukaryota, Metazoa, Chordata, Actinopteri, Osteoglossiformes, Mormyridae.